UUCGGCGGCGAUGGCGGAGAGGCAACACCCGUUCCCAUCCCGAACACGGAAGUUAAGCUCUCCAGCGCCGAUGGUACUACGGGGUUACCCCCGUGGGAGAGUAGGUCGCUGCCGAAU
Molecule: non-coding RNA, 117 nt
Organism: Deltaproteobacteria bacterium GWC2_65_14
Lineage: Bacteria; Deltaproteobacteria
Source: Rfam